AGUGCUGCCAGGACACUGUGGGACGAGGGAACAGCUGCCAGUCGACCAUGGAUAUGAAUGGGCAGGAAGAGGAGUACAGGGAUCUAAUGAUGGCCUUCAGUGAAUGGAGUAACAAGAACUGCGUCCUUCUGAACACAUCCAAGACGGAAGAGAUGGUUAUCUAUCUAUCUAUCUAUCUAUCUAUCUAUCUAUCUAUCUAUCUAUCUAUCUAUCUAUCUAUCUAUCUAUCUAUCUAUCUAUCUAUCUAUCUAUCUAUCUAUCUGUCUAUUUGUCUAUCUGUCUAUUUGUCUAUCUGUCUAUCCAAGUGAGGCAUAGAAAGUUAUAAAAAUGUUAUUAUAUACAUUUAGGCAUAAAAACAUCAGGGCAAAAGAAGGACUAAAAUAACGUCAUGGUAUAGUAAGACAUAGAAGAGUGUAAGGUAUUAAUUGUUUUACAUGCAUAUAACUUUGACUUUAGAAUAUAAUAUUUGUCUGACUGUAUAUAUAUGUGAAGGACACUGAGAAAUUUAGGACAUUUCUGGAGUUCCUAGUUAGAUUGAUGAAUGUUUGUGUUUGCUGGUAUGGUUGGAAUCCGACGAAUGGAGAAUGAUCUCAGGAACUCUGAAGAAGGAUGAGCAAAAACUACGAGGCCCCAAGGAUGUGAACUUCUCCUGAUCAACAUCAGCUUGUCAUGCACAUCAGAGAGAAAAAGAGUAAACAAGCAGUCAAAUUUUUGUUACUUUUGUUACCUUGGUGUACCUUGUACAAGACCUGUCUUUCCUGUGCAAAUAAAACCAGCCACAUUGAA
Seriola aureovittata is the source of this 786-nucleotide long non-coding RNA. RefSeq lists it as uncharacterized. The record is from RefSeq and is a predicted model, not a curated record. Lineage: Eukaryota; Metazoa; Chordata; Actinopteri; Carangiformes; Carangidae. The transcript has 2 exons.